CCAGCUUUGCAGCAGCUUCUAUAUCGUCUCAUUGGUUGCAGGCCAGAAGGCGCUGCUAACCACAAUCAUGUUACACAAUAUGCACUUGCUCUGGUGUUGAAAGAGAGUUUUAAAGUCUAUUGUGCUAUCAAUGAUGGA
This is a non-coding RNA of Camelina sativa (false flax), 138 nucleotides long. The record is from RefSeq and is a predicted model, not a curated record. NCBI's taxonomy places the organism in Eukaryota, Viridiplantae, Streptophyta, Magnoliopsida, Brassicales, Brassicaceae.